RNAcentral lists this long non-coding RNA (4017 nucleotides) under Sus scrofa (pig). Its description in RNAcentral is "lncRNA (ENSSSCG00000057200.1)". The record is from RNAcentral. Lineage: Eukaryota; Metazoa; Chordata; Mammalia; Artiodactyla; Suidae.
AGUGCACUCUGCCAGACCCUGCUGAACAGACUGCACCAGAGGGAAAUUUCCGACUCGAGAGGUUGCUCCUCAUCAUUUGUUCCCGCCAAGCUUUGGUGUGAAGACUGCUUUCUAGGCUAAGACAUCUCCCACGAUGUUCCUAUUGCAAGGUGCCCAGAUGCUGCAGAUGCUGGAGAAUUCCUUGAGGAAGAGCCUUCCUACAUCCUUGAAGGUGACAAUGAAAACUUCUGAGAACGAAGAGGAAGCGGGACCAAUAUUGUUGAGCACUUAUUCUGUGCCAGGCAUCAUUGCAUGUUUUCUCUCAUUUACUUUGCAUAAGCUCUCUACAAAGAUACUCGCUGUUAUGGCCAUGUCACCAACGAGAGGGUGGAUGCUGAGGGAAGUGAUUUGCCUAACACCCCAUAAAUAGUGAGUUGCAAUACUGUGGUGUGAAGAUAGGAAUGCCUGAGACCUCACACUGGUUUGGGCUGCAAGGUGAUUCAAAAAGUAUUCCCUGCCCCCUUUCCCAGAAACAUUCCAUAACAGCACUGGCAAUUUGCCCCAGAGGUCUCCUGCAAAGUUAGCUACAACUACAUGUUCGUUUUUAAUCUGUUUUCCCUAAAAGAACAUUUGCCAGGUGAGAGGUUGACCAUCACAGGCUGUCUUUGAAAUUAAAAAUAACUCAAUUUCUAUUUGACUUAAAUUUUCCAAUUGUUCUGCACUUAUUGCACUCAGGCUAUUUUGCGGCUGACUCUGUACUCUUUCUGUUAACCUGGUACAAAUGAUCAGAAAUCUCAGGAUCAAGUAAGACAUACACACAGGAGUUCCUGUUGUGGCUCAGUGGGUUAAGAAUCUGACUAGUAUCCUGAGGAUUAGGGUUUGAGCCCCAGCCUCUCUCAGUGGGUUAAGGACCUGGUGUUGCCAUGAGCUGUAGGCUAGCUUGUAUCUGGUGUUGCUGUGGUUGUGGUAUAGGCUCGCAGCUACAGCUCUGAUUUGACCCCUAGCUUGGGAACUUCCACAUGCUGCAGUGGGGCUGUAAAAAAGACAAAAAAAAAAAAAAAAAAAGACAUACACAUAAAUGCCCACAUCCAGAACUGUUGAAGUGUAACACUGAUGACAGAAUCAAGUUUUUGAUUGUGUUUUUCUUUAGCAACCAAAGAGAUGGGAUCCAUCCCAAUGGAAUUUAGGUAUGACUCCUUGUGUGUGUGUGUGCGUGUGUAUGUGUGUGUGCAAGUGCGUGUAGAACAAUCGUUUCUCUCUGAAACUUAUUUUAGAUAGACACAGAAACUAGGUUUCUACUGAUUUACAAGACAUUCCUAUAAGAUGCAAACAUUCUAGGAAAGAUCAUCGCCUUCUCCUCCCUCACUCCCUAGUACAUUUGUUACUCUCUUCUUUCAGCAUAAAGGAGAAAGAUGUUAGUGUUAGGGUAUUGAUAGACAUAUGGCUUCCUUUUCAUGUGUUAGAAAUAGACUAAUGAAACAACCUGCCCUGUUCUUUAACUACUGCCCCCAAGUAACCUCACAUCAACCACUAUAAAACUGUCAAGUCACUCACUUUGGUAGAUCCCACUGACAGUCAUCUCUGUUACCUAACAUUGGUGAACUGUCUUCGCUUGCUAGUCCUUAAGAACCAGCCAACCGCUCGGAGAAACGGUCAUUUUUCUUGGAGGUUACGUCAGGGAUACCCUCUAUGAACACUUGCCUAAGAUGUGUUUAUGGUGAGCAGCUGUUUUUGAAAAUUCGUCAGGCUUGAAGUUUUUCUUCCAUGAUCCAUUGUGUCGGAUUUUGUGAUUUAAACUUCUCUUAACUCCUUGUCUUAAAUAGACCCCAAACACUUUGGGAAAACUAUCGGAGGUUCCCAAGUGUUCUUUCUUGGAGUAUCUCUGUAGCAGUAAGAUAAGUGGCCCUCUUGGCUCCUCAGCUCUUAUGGAGAAAUAACAUCGGUGGUAUACUAAAGAUGUACAGUUUACCUAGGUUGGUAGCUAGAAUAGUUGUUUGCCACUUACUUUUUUAAAAUAAGAUUUUUAGUCUUUCUAUUAUAGUUGAUUGGCAGUGUUCCGUCAAGUUUGGCUGUACAGCAAAGUGACCCAGAAAAACAUGUACACAUUCUUUUCCUUGCGUAAUCCUCAAGCAUGUUCCAUCACAAAUGACUAGAUUAGUUCCCUGUGCUACACAGCAGGAUCUCAUUGCUUAUCCACUCCAAAUGCAAUGGUUUGCAUCACGACUCCAAACUCCCAGUCCAUCCCACUCCCUCCCCUUCAGGCUUGGCUCCAGGUCCAUGAGUUUGCUUCUUUUCUGUGGAUAGGAUCAUUUGUGCUGUUCAUUAGAUUCCAGGUGUAAGUGAUAUCAUAUGGUAUUUGCCUGUCUCUUUCUGACUGACUUAGUAUGAGAGUCUCUGGUUCCAUGCAUGUUCAUGCAAAUGGCAUUGGUUUGCCAGUUACUUUUCUUUUUUAAAAUACUCAAUGAAUUUAUUACGUAUAUAGUUGUGUAAUGAUCAUCACAACCCAAUUUUAUAGCAUUUCCAUCCCAAACCCCAAGCUCAUCCCCCCACCCCCCAACCUGUCUCCAUUGGAAACUCUAAGUUUUCCCAAGUCUGUGAGUCAGCAUCUGCUCUGCAAAGAAGUUCAUUGUGUCCUUUUUUUAAGAUUCCACAUGUAGGUGAUAGCAUAUACUGUUGGUGUCUCACCGUCUGGCUAACUUCACUCAGAAUGAUAAUUUCGAAGUCCAUCCAUGUUGCUACAAAUGCUGUUAUUUCUUUCCUCUGAAUGGCUGAGUAAUACUCCCUUGGGUACAUGCACCACAGCUUCCUUGUCCAUUCCUCUGUCGAUGAACACCUAGGUUAUUUCCAUGUCUUGACUACUGCAAACAGUGCUGCAAAGAACACUGGAGCACAUGUGUCUUUUUGAGUCAUGGCUUUCUCUGGAUAGAUGCCCAAGAGUGGGAUUGCUGGAUCAAAUGGUAGUUCUAUGUUUAGCUUUCUGUGGAAUCUCCACACUAUUUUCCACAGUGGUUGCACCAAUUUACAAUCCCACCAACAGUGUGAUAGGGUUCCUUUUUCUCCACACCCUCUCCAGCACUUACUGUUUGUAGACUUUUGGAUGAUGGCCAUUCUGGCUGGUGUAAGGUGAUACCUCAUAGUGGCUGUGAUUUGCAUUUCUCUACUAAUGAGUGAUGUUGAACAUGUUUUCACGUGUUUUUUGGCCAUCUGUAUGUCUUCUCUGGAGAAUUGUCUGUUUAGAUCUCCUGCCCAUUUUUGGAUGGAGUUGUUUUUGUUUUUUGGUUUUUGGUACUCGGUGGUAGGAGGUAUUUAUAAACUUUGGAGAUUAAUCCCUUGUCAGUUGACUCAUUUGCAAAGAUUUUCUCCCAUUCUGUGGGUUGUCUUUUUGUUUUGCUUAGGGUUUCCUUUGCUGUGCAGAAACUUUUAAUCUUAAUUAAGUCCCAUUUGUUUAUUCAUGUUGUCACUGUCGUUACUCUAAGAGCUGGAUCUGAGAAGAUGUUGCUGUCAUUUAUGUCGGAGAGUGUUUGGCCUAUGUUUUCCUCUAACAGUUUUAGAGUAUCUGGUCUUGUAUAUAGGUCUUGAAUCCAUUUUGAGCUUAUUUUUGUCCAAAUUGUUAUCCACAUUCCACCAAAGGGCACCCCCACUUCACAAAGACAGUUCUACCUCUAUUCCUAAUAAGUACAGAAGUAUGUGCAAGAUUUCAGGAAUAGAAAGGCAUUCUGGUGCUUCUAGAGAGUUUGAAAAGAGGAGUUCCAGCAGCUCCGAGGUGGCAAGAGAAGCAAUUUCCAGCCACUCAGCUCUGCAAAGGCUCUCACCGCGCUGCCCCCAUCACCCCAGGACUCCCCACCACAAGCUCUCUGCCAGUUACUUUUAAUGGAGGUGUGACCUAGAACUCAAUAACGUGCUUUGGGUCUCAGUUGAGAAAUCAUCCAGUGGUUCUUCUAAGUGUGGGAUCCAAAAUACAUUUUAUUGUGUGUGUCAACCCUAAUUGAUUCCAUUUAGAUAGCUGCCUGACUCCCUGUGUUCUGAGUUCAGCAGAGG